GAAAUGCGAUAAGUAGUGUGAAUUGCAGAAUUCAGUGAAUCAUCGAAUCUUUGAACGCACAUUGCGCCCCUUGGUAUUCCAUGGGGCAUGCCUGCUCGAGCGUCAUUUGUACCCUCAAGCUCUGCUUGGUGUUGGGUGUUUGUCCCCGUCUCCGCGCGUGGACUCGCCCCAAAGUGAUUGGCAGCCGGCGUACUGGUCCCGGAGCGCAGCACAUGUCGCGCAAACGAGUGCCUUGGUACGGCGGCGUCCAUAAGCCCCUCUCUCACGCUCUUGACCUCGGAUCAGGUAGGGAUACCCGCUGAACUUAAGC
Molecule: unclassified non-coding RNA, 310 nt
Filed under: plant metagenome
Description: partial contains 5.8S ribosomal RNA, internal transcribed spacer 2, and large subunit ribosomal RNA
Rfam family: 5.8S ribosomal RNA (bases 1-105)
Source: RNAcentral